This 1368-nucleotide ribosomal RNA is filed under the name Rhizocarpon hochstetteri. Its description in RNAcentral is "eukaryotic LSU rRNA". It matches the Rfam family "Eukaryotic large subunit ribosomal RNA", at positions 65 to 1452 of the family's 3401-position model. Lineage: Eukaryota; Fungi; Ascomycota; Lecanoromycetes; Rhizocarpales; Rhizocarpaceae. The record is from RNAcentral.
CCAACAGGGAUUGCCUCAGUAACGGCGAGUGAAGCGGCAACAGCUCAAAUUUAAAAUCUGGCCCUCCCGGGGUCCGAGUUGUAAUUUGGAGAGAGGAUUUCGGGCGCGGCGCCGGUCUAAGUUCUUUGGAACAGGACGUCGCAGAGGGUGAGAAUCCCGUACGUGACCGGCGGCCAAGCUCAGGUGAAACCUCUUCGACGAGUCGAGUUGUUUGGGAAUGCAGCUCAAAAUGGGUGGUAAAUUUCAUCUAAAGCUAAAUACCGGCCAGAGACCGAUAGCGCACAAGUAGAGUGAUCGAAAGAUGAAAAGCACUUUGGAAAGAGAGUCAAACAGUACGUGAAAUUGUUGAAAGGGAAGCGCUUGCAACCAGACCUGCCCGCGGGUGAUCCGCCGCCCCUCGGGGCGGUCCACUCGCCCGCGAUCAGGCCAGCAUCGGUCCGGGCGGCCGGAUAAAGGCCCCGGGAAUGUAGCUCCCCCCGGGGAGUGUUAUAGCCCGGGGCGCCAUGCGGCCAGCCGGGACCGAGGACCGCGCUUCGGCUAGGAUGCUGGCGUAAUGGUUGUAAGCGGCCCGUCUUGAAACACGGACCAAGGAGUCUAACAUCUAUGCGAGUGUUUGGGUGUCAAACCCAUGCGCGGAAUGAAAGUGAACGGAGGUGGGAACCCGCGAGGGCGCACCAUCGACCGAUCCUGAUGUCUUCGGAUGGAUUUGAGUAGGAGCAUAGCUGUUGGGACCCGAAAGAUGGUGAACUAUGCCUGAAUAGGGUGAAGCCAGAGGAAACUCUGGUGGAGGCUCGCAGCGGUUCUGACGUGCAAAUCGAUCGUCAAAUUUGGGUAUAGGGGCGAAAGACUAAUCGAACCAUCUAGUAGCUGGUUCCAGCCGAAGUUUCCCUCAGGAUAGCAGUAACGUUUUCAGUUUUAUGAGGUAAAGCGAAUGAUUAGAGGCCUUGGGGUUGAAACAACCUUAACCUAUUCUCAAACUUUAAAUAUGUAAGAAGUCCUUGUUGCUUCGUUGAACGUGGACAUUCGAAUGCACCGUUACUAGUGGGCCAUUUUUGGUAAGCAGAACUGGCGAUGCGGGAUGAACCGAACGUGAGGUUAAGGUGCCGGAAUGCACGCUCAUCAGACACCACAAAAGGUGUUAGUUCAUCUAGACAGCCGGACGGUGGCCAUGGAAGUCGGAAUCCGCUAAGGAGUGUGUAACAACUCACCGGCCGAAUGAACUAGCCCUGAAAAUGGAUGGCGCUCAAGCGUGCUACCCAUACCUCGCCGCCAGGGUAGCAACGAUGCCCUGGCGAGUAGGCUGGCGUGGAGGUCCGUGACGAAGCCUUGGGGGUGACCCCGGGUCGAACGGCCUCUAGUGCAGAUCUU